GAAAAAAAAAAAUCUUCAAUCCACAAUCUAUCCAUGGAGAGAUAAUCUCUCGGAGAAGAGGAAUCAAUUAUGUCUGAAGUUUCAUGGAAAGUCAUUUAAUUUUCCCGGAAAGUUAGAGAAGUUUUUACGGAAAUGGACGAGACUUUCUUCGAUCUGAUGGAGCUUUGGAAGAAACCCUCGAUCACCGAAAUAUUCGUCGACAUUUUGCUUUGUGCAGUGCCUAUAUGGCUCGCCGUCAUGAUCGGCCUCGUUAUUGGCUGGUCGUGGCGCCCCAGGUGGACUGGCUUGGUUUUCCUUGGCCUUCGAAGCAAGUUCAGGUUUUUGUGGACGGCGCCGCCGGGGUUUGGAGCUCGACGGCUCUGGUUGGCUUUCACGGCUCUCUCGGCUUUCUCUGUUUGCCGCACCAUCUGGUCCAAUUUCAAGGGUAAGAAUGGAAAAUCAGCGGCGACGGCAGCAACUUCCGCAUCGACGCUGCCGGCCUUGGCGAGAAAUUCGGGUGAGGGUGGCAGUGAUUCUAUUAGCUCCCAUAGUGAACCUCAGGCAGGAGAGGAAAUUGUCACAGAGAAUGAUUUAGAACACCUGUUGCAUCUUCUUGAGGGUAAGGAUGGACAAAUGGAAUGGCAAUCUAUGAUGGAAAGGUCUACCUCGAACAUGGCAUAUCAAGCUUGGUGCCUUGAGCAUCAGGUAGAUUCCAACUCUGCCUUUUGCCAGCUGAAACUGCUUCUUGAAUUGUUGGCAUCUAAUGUAACUGUGCCCUCCCUCUUCCCCUGUUUUAGCAGCCAAUUCAUAAUCACCCAUUAAGCACAUGUUGUUUUAGGAAUUGUUAGUAUAUGCCCUUCGAUUGCUUGUUCUGACAACUUAUGAAUAUUGCAGGACACUUUUUUCCCAUAUGACUCUCUUGGCAUUUUCUGGAUCUAGUUUGCAGGCAUCUAUGUGUUAUUAUUUUUUGUCAUAACAUGCCAGGCUAUUCAGCUUAAGGAUGCCUGAUGUCUGGUGGCAUGUUGUUUAAUGUGUUAUAAUGUACCUUAGUUGUCUUCCCAUCUUCAAAUGAUAUAACUGUAUUGUUUAAUGAUUCUGAGAGUAACAUGUAUUAGUAUUUGGUGGUGAUUUUGUUCAUCAGACAGGUCCUACUAUAUUUCGUAGUAAAACUAUCUUUGAGGAUGCAACUGCAGAACUGGUUAGAGAUUUCUUCUGGGAUGAUGAGUUUCGACUUAAAUGGGAUCCGAUGCUUGCAUACUUCGAAAUAUUAGAGGAAUUCCCUUGUACAGGGACGAUGAUUGUUCACUGGAUAAAAAAGGUUAGUGGAAUGAAUAUGUGCAUAAUGUAUCUGAUUGAUAUCAUGGUUUCUUAAUGCUUCUUGCAUGUUCUGUGACAAGUCUUGUUGAAUGUCAAAGAGUUUGUUCCUCCAAUUUGCAGUUCCCAUUUUUCUGCAGUGAUCGUGAAUAUAUCAUUGGUCGAAGAAUAUGGGAGGCUGGGAAGACAUAUUAUUGUGUGACCAAGGUAUGGAUUGGGACAUUUUAUGAUUCAUGUUUUACUGUUGCUUCUUUUCCUGCUUUUCAAGUAGGAGGACCUUUCAUACUACUAUCUUCUAAAAAGGAAAAAUAGUUUGAUUGGAGUCCAGUGGUUAAUUUUAGAUAUAGUGCGAGUAAUCUUAUAUCUAAACAAAAUGCGUUUUUCUUUGUCCCUAUUAAUUCCGCAAUCCAGUCAAUCUUCUAUCUCAUGGUGUACUAAAAUUUAGAUUUUCAUAUAGAUUUUCGGAAUCCCCCUUUCUUACCUCUGUUGAUUAAAAACCUUGUUGUUACUUUAUUUAUUAAUAUUAAUAUCACUUGAUUAUAUAGAGUGUAGGGAGCUAGAAAAUAUACAGAAUAACAUGAUUAUAAAUAAUUGAUGUGGAUAAUGAGUGCUGAUAUGCCGAGGCUACAACAUCGCAGGGGGUGCCAUAUCCUGGCCUGCCCAAGCGUGACAAGCCAAGGCGUGUGGAGCAUUAUUUCUCGAGUUGGGUUAUCAGGGCUGUGGAAUCUCGCAAGGGUGAUGGACAGAUGUCUGCAUGUGAAGUUAUCCUUUUGCAUUAUGAGGACAUGGGAAUACCCAAAGAUGUGGCUAAGUUGGGAGUGCGUCAUGGUAUGUGGGGAACUGUCAAGAAGUUGCAUUCUGGCAUGAGAGCAUAUCAGAAUUCUAGGAAAACAGAGGCUUCAUUGUCGAGAAGCGCACUCAUGGCAAGGAUCACAACGAAAAUUUCUUUUGAUGAAAGCACAGAUUCUGCAGAGCCUGUUAGCCGAGAAGAGGAUAAAGGUCAAGUGGUAGACAUAAAAAGACACAUGGAUCAUGGCAUUGACUGGAAAUGGAUAGUCAUAGGAGGAACAGUAGCUCUGGUGUGUGGACUUCAUUCUGGUGCAAUUGGGAAGGCCUUGUUACUUGGUGCAGGGCAAAGAAUUGCACGGAGAUGAGAGUUUUCUAGUCAAGGACAUUUUACCCCUAUCUGAUUUUUAAGGACUAGUUAAAUUUUUACUCAACCAGUUGAGGUAUCAAUUAUCAUUAUCAAAAGAUCAAUGACGUUUUAUUAAAUUUUCUAUGUUGGCACUGAUUUUUUUAUCAUUUUAUCUCAUCUGUUUGUGAUUGCAAACACGCUGUGG
RNAcentral lists this unclassified non-coding RNA (2633 nucleotides) under Hevea brasiliensis (rubber tree). Lineage: Eukaryota; Viridiplantae; Streptophyta; Magnoliopsida; Malpighiales; Euphorbiaceae. The record is from RNAcentral.